CGCCUCCGGGAGGACAGCCGGCGGGUGGCAGGGAAACCGGUGCUCCCGCGGGCCAGGAGCGGUGUGGAGCGCUUCGCGUACUCCCUGAGGCCUCACGCAGCCCCUGCUGUAGCAGCGUCUUCCCAGGUGGGGAAACUGAGGCUCCGAAGAGAUAAUGAUGCGUGUCAGACGAGAGGUGCGGCCAAGCCGUGUAUCGGGAACCAGCCGCCUGCCUGAGGGUCCGAGAACUCACACCCCAGACCCCCGGUCAAGAGAAACUCACCGUCCAGAGAGCUCCGACCCAGACCAUCUCUCCGGGAAGCAGGGCCUGGCCGUGGGCCAGGCCCACAAGGCGUUUGUCUGAAGCAUCACGGUGACCCUGGGGUUUGCGUGUGCUGGGUGGGAGACGACAGCGCCCCUCGGCAGCAGAGACGGCUCGGAUGCAACAAAGACCGGCAGGUUAAGAAGAAAAGAUCGUUCUCCUCGUUUUCUUUUCCCUCUCGAAGACCUUGGAUUUGGUGAAGCCCCCUCCUUGGAGGUCCCGGGCACCCCCUGAAGGCUGGAACGAGGGAAGGUGAUGCCCCCAGAGCCUGGAGAGGGACAGGCACAUGACGAGUGGAUGGAGCAGGGGCUGCUACUUCUGCCCAAAGAGGCCGAGGGAACCCCAGAGGAGGGAAGAAAUCCUGCGGGUGCCAUCUUUGAAAUCAGGCCACCGUGCAAGUCUCUCCCCACCCAAGUCAGCACCGCGGUCAGCUUCUCCAUCAGCGCCAGGACAGCCUGCAGUGGGGUCCUGGCUGGUCAACUCUGCCCACCUCGUGAGUCUCUGCCAGCAGUGCUCAGAGGGACCCUGUAAAAAACCAAGCAGUCCUGUCACUGCACCGUGGGGCACCUCCCAGGGGCUCCUGUCUCACGCACGAUAAACGCAAAGCAAACCCCGAGGCCCGCCAGCCCUCCCAGUCUGGCCUCUCUGCUCUCGACCUCAUCCACGCCUCUACCUCCGGCCGCGCUCUGCAGCAAGGAUGGGCACCUGCUGUCCUGGACAUACGGUGCAGCUUCUCCCGUGGUGGGGGGGGGGGGCUUUGCAUUUUCUCCUCCGUCUGGAGCAGCAGCAGUUGUGAUACCCUUCUUGCCUCCUCGCGAUAGGUGCGUUCCCUGUUCACACGCAGCCCUCCCGUGGGUUCUCCCACCUUCCCUGGCCUUCCUUCCUCCAUGGGACCCGGGUCCUCUGUGGCAGACAGGCCUGAGCAGGCCCACCUCCUGGUGUUCUCAUCCUGGGGUGAGCCCCUCCCCAGGUGUGGGCAGGACCCGUGACCACCUCUGCCUACAGAAGGUGCCCCAGGUGCUGGGGCCUCGCUUGCGGCUACUUUACAGACAUGAGACCGCCUUGUUGCAAACUCAGCCUGGAGUCUUGCUCUUGUUUGCUUUGGAUAACUAAGUUGUCUGCAAAUGCAAGUAAGUUCUGCCGAAGCCUGAGUGAGUGAAGAUGGGGAUGAGAACGCAGCCUGGCCCACAUCUGGAUUGCUGCCUGAGUGGAAAGCCCAGCUCGGCGGUGCCAGGGCUCCUGGCCACAGACGCCAAGAGACGGUCAGCUUGUGCGUCUGCAGCUGCUGAGCAUGUGGCAGUUGUCAGGCAGUG
Molecule: long non-coding RNA, 1614 nt
Organism: Balaenoptera ricei (Rice's whale)
Lineage: Eukaryota; Metazoa; Chordata; Mammalia; Artiodactyla; Balaenopteridae
Exons: 4
Source: RefSeq, a predicted model, not a curated record